Molecule: unclassified non-coding RNA, 1271 nt
Filed under: Hevea brasiliensis (rubber tree)
Lineage: Eukaryota; Viridiplantae; Streptophyta; Magnoliopsida; Malpighiales; Euphorbiaceae
Source: RNAcentral
GAUGGCUCUACUGCUGAAAAUGAAGAUGUUGCUGAGUCUGACAUAGAGGGUUCAACUUCUAAAUUGGUCUCUCAUCAUGAUGAUGGCUCCAAGCGUUUUAUUGGAGCUGGUGGUCGUGAGGGUCCAAAGCAGGUUCAUGGGUUUUUUGAUUCUAGUGUUGUAGACUUAAAAGGGCAAAAGAGGCCUAAUGGUUCAUCAGAAAAUGAAAUUAAGCAUGGGAACUUGAAUUAUGGGGUUCCAUUCUCUGUUCGAUCUGUAAAUAUCGCGAAUAUGCCAUACUCGUUUCCUGUAAAAGAAUCUAACUCUAUCGGUGUUCCCAGCUCUUCGGGCCAUCCUCUGCCUGGAAUGAUGCAGGCAAUCCCUACUUCAAAUGGUGAGCAGAGAACAGGGGCUCAGUCUGUGAAUCCUGGAAAUUUGCCAGUAAUGUUUGGCUAUUCACCUGUUCAGCUUCCGACAUUGGAUAAGGAUAAUUCAUGGGGUUUGCUCUCUCAUCUUCAGCAGUUCCACCCUUCCUGUGCUGGCAGAGGUCCAUCAAACUCAGAUAAGCAAAAUGAUCGAUUGAAGAUUGCUCCUGCCAUGCAAAUAAUUUCACGAAAUUCAUCUGAAGCUACACUGUGUGAUGGGAGGAGCAAUCUUCAAUCGAUCAUUUUGCUUAUCUGAAGCAAACAGCACAUGACAGAAGAAGACUCCACUUCUCAGAAUGAAGAUGAUGUAAAAGGAGGCAGCAUGAACCUUAGGGCAAAAGAUGCAUCUGGGCCAUCAACAUCAGAAGGCUUAUCCUUUGAUUUUCCUGCCAUAAAGUCAGGUAUUGCAUCAGAUGUGAAAUUUGGGGGGGGUUGUGGUUCCUAUCCCGAUUUACCCUGGGUUUCCACCACAGGUUCUGGUCCAAAUGGCAGAACAAUUUCUGGUGUAACUUACAGAUACGGUGCAAACCAAUUUAGAAUUGUUUGCGCUUGCCAUGGUUCCCACUUGUCCCCUGAGGAAUUUAUCAGGCACGCAAGUGAAGAGAAUAUUAAUCCAGACAAUGGCAGUGGUUUAGCCUCAUUUCCAAGUACCAAUCCUGCUGCCUCUGCUCAGAGCUGAUAGUUAUCGUCUUUUCCAGCAGGAGCAAUAGAUAUCGCCAUAUGUUCAAGCAAAACCAGGUUUUGACCUUAUUUACCAUAAGACGCCUGAUAGUUUUUGCUGUUCUGUUUGCUUAUUUAUUUGCUUUUACCGACUUAGUUGCUGUAAUCAAAUGUUGCAGGAGUAUGUAAUAAUGUUUUAGCAUCCCG